Molecule: long non-coding RNA, 610 nt
Filed under: Mytilus galloprovincialis (Mediterranean mussel)
Lineage: Eukaryota; Metazoa; Mollusca; Bivalvia; Mytilida; Mytilidae
Source: RNAcentral
CCCCGUUAUUUACCUGCCCCUUCAAAAUUUUAACUUUACGCAUAUAAAUUUAUACAUGCAUGGAUAUUUCAUUGUUAUUCUACUUAUUUGGAUUGGAUUUACUAUUCUUUUUCCGCAGAAUAUUCUAACGAAAAUUGUACAGUUGUACAGUGUCCGGAUAUGUACGAUGUGGUAAAACUACCAACAAUCUCCGGUCUCACUAAUUAGCGACAACAACAAUUUUAGCGACAACAAGCGUCAACAAGCGACAAAAAGCGACAACAAGAAUUAUUUUAGCGACAACAAGCGACAAGAAACUAUUUAGCGACAAGAAAACAUUUUUUUUUAAUUAAAAUUAAUUAUUGCAAUAAAUAUUAAAAGAAUAUGCAAAAGAAAAUAAUUUUAGGGACAAGAAAGUUAAAAUUGAUAGAAAAAAAUUAAACAUUAUUUACAUAAUAUGUUAUCAUCUAUUAUGAAUAACAGCCAGUAUUACGUUUAAUUAUUGUAUUAUGAGAUUACUUUUCCUUGUGUUUUAGAACAUAUUAUUUAUCUUAUAAUUUGUUUUUUAAAACUCUUUUCGUGCAAUAUAUAUUAAGCUCGCAAAAUGAAUUAUUUGUGCAUCAUUGUCCUG